Molecule: ribosomal RNA, 481 nt
Filed under: uncultured bacterium
Lineage: Bacteria
Description: partial 16S ribosomal RNA
Rfam family: Bacterial small subunit ribosomal RNA
Source: RNAcentral
GACGAACGUUGGCGGCGUGCUUAAUACAUGCAAGUCCACUGAAGCAGUGGUAGCAAUAUCGCUGUGGAGGUGGCGCACGGGUGAGUAACACGUAGGUAAUCUGCCUUCAGGUCUGGCAUAACUCCGGGAAACCGGGGCUAAUAGCAGAUGAUGCAGCGGCUCGACAUCGAGACAGUUGUUAAAGCUAUGGCGCCUGAAGAUGAGCCUGCGUCUGAUUAGCUAGUUGGCGGGGUAACGGCCCACCAAGGCAACGAUCAGUAGCUGGUCUGAGAGGAUGAUCGGCCACACUGGAACUGAGACACGGUCCAGACUCCUACGGGAGGCAGCAGUAAGGAAUAUUGCUCAAUGGGAGAAAUCCUGAAGCAGCAACGCCGCGUGAGGGACGAAGGGCUUUUGCUUGUAAACCUCUGUAGUGAGAGAAAAAAAUCCCAAUCUUUGGGACAUGAUGGUAGCUCAAAAGUAAGCCCCGGCUAACUACGUG